GAUGAAGAACGUAGCGAAAUGCGAUACGUAAUGUGAAUUGCAGAAUUCAGUGAAUCAUCGAAUCUUUGAACGCAUAUUGCGCUCUCUGGUAUUCCGGAGAGCAUGCUUGUUUGAGUAUCAGUAAACACCUCAACUUCCAUAUCUUUUUUGAAAUGGGAGUUGGACUUGAGUGAUCCCAACGCUUUUCCUCACCGAAAAGUGGCGGGUUACUUGAAAUGCAGGUGCAGCUGGACUUUUCUCUGAGCUAUAAGCAUAUCUAUUUAGUCUGCCUAAAAAACAGAUUAUUACCUUUGCUGCAGCUAACAUAAAGGAGAUUAGUUCUUGUGCUGACUGAUGCAGGAUUCACAAAGACGGCUUCGGCCGACUUUGUAAACUCGAUCUCAAAUCAAGUAAGACUACCCGCUGACCUUAAGCAUAUCAAUAAGCGGAGGA
This 432-nucleotide unclassified non-coding RNA is filed under the name soil metagenome. Its description in RNAcentral is "partial contains 5.8S ribosomal RNA, internal transcribed spacer 2, and large subunit ribosomal RNA". The stretch from base 1 to 120 matches the Rfam family "5.8S ribosomal RNA", at positions 35 to 154 of the family's 154-position model. The record is from RNAcentral.